UUGCUCAUUAAUAGUUUUGAUCCUCAAAUUUUACCCUUUGUUUCGUUACAUGAAAUUGCUUAGAUUGUUAGUUCCAUCUAAAAUAUUUUUUCUAUGAGUGUACAAGAUGUGCAUCAAUUCUAUUUUGUUUUUUCUUCUUUUUUUUUGUUUUUUUAAAAUACACACGCAAAUAUUUCCUAAAAAAUGAGCCCUCAGCAUGGUAAAAAACAUUCGGUUUUCCUAUGCAUAAAUGUUUAGUUUAAAGGCACGAACUUUCGUUUCAUGCUUUCUUCGUGUAAGAGAAAUUAAAAAGACGUUGUAUGAGCUUUCGGAUUUUUAUUUUUGAAUUUUGGAUGGUUCAAUAAAUUAAAAUGUUUGAAGUGGAUGGGGGUGAAAUAAAUUAAGAGGGAUGUGGAUGGAUGGGUAGUGAUGAAGUGCACUCUUAGUAGCUGGAGCCAUGAGAGUAGCUGGGAGCAGCGUAGCUGGAUCCAUGAGAGGAGUAGCUGGACCCAUGAGAGGAGUAGCUGGGAGCGGAGUGUCCGUAGCUGGGAGCGGAGUGUCCGUAGCUGGGAGCGGAGUGUCCGUAGCUGGGAGCGGAGUAGCCGUGUUGUUGUUGUGGGUAAAGGUUCACGUUCUGGUAGGAGACGGCGGGUUCGCCGUGUCCGUAUGAAGAAGAUCCGGAAGAUCCGUGUCCGUAUCCGGAAGAUCCGUAUUCAGCGGCGGCAACAACGACGACGGCGGCGAAGAUGAACCACUGAAAGCAAUAAAAUUUUACAAUUGAAAUAUCGGGGAACAUCAUACAAAGUGAUUAAAAAGUUCCGCACCAUCCCUAAAACCCGUAGGAUCUUGUCCCUUUUGGGGGUGAUCCCCUUACUUUUUGUUUCAGAGGGCGGGCGGAGGGCUUAAGACGUUUCUUUUGACCCACGAGCACUUGUUCAAGUCUCUAUCUCAAUUUGCUCAAAAGUUACAGGCGUGAUGCUAGAUGUUGGUAUGUGUAGGAUUCAGAGUUGUGGCGCACCAAUAUUAGAUUUAAAGGGCAUUUUGGAAACACAAUUUUAGGGGAUAGGUGCAAUUAAAAGCCUGGGAACCUAGGUGAAAAUGAUAUAUGUGUAUUUUUUCCAUUAAAUAAAUAAAUGAAAAAUUAAAAUAAAAUAAAUGAAUAUGGUUGUUACCGUGUUACCUACUAAGAUAUUAUGGUUUCAAACAAGUUCUCAUUAAGUUGGACUUUGAAAGUCUUUGGAAGUCCAUUCAUGAAAUAGAAACCAAGUCUCGGCUUUUAAAAGUACAAGAUCCGAUCUGUGGUAAAGUAUCGAGCUAAAGUUAUGUGUUUCAAAGGUGACAUUUGAAAAUACGUUUGUAGGAAUCACUUUGAUGUAAAUAUAUUCUCAAAUUUUUCAGCCUCAAAUAUGAAGCUCGUAUUCAAUUUUAAUGUGUUAUGGAAACAUUAUGACUUACUUUGAAGAAGGCCAUUUUGAGUUUGGGUGUUGUUGUUGGUUGCACAGGGAACUGUAAGAAUUAACUGUGAAGAGUGAAUGAUGCUGAUUUGUUAGCGGCCAGCUUUUAUAUGUCUCCGAGUGCCUAAUCUAAGGCAUAAAAACCAGCACUUAGGAAGGACAUUUUCGCGAAAAGUCUGAAUGAAAAAAGCUCGAGAAAAAAGAGCAAUAAAAAAACAGCGCAUUACGCUUGAUAAAAAGUUGUCACGAUUGGAGAUGAUAAUGAGGAUAUUGAUUGAAUUUGUUUGUUAAUUGGUACGUCGGAAAGUGUUUUUCAUGAUGUAUCUGAAUACGUGUUGGUGAAUUAGCGUGCGUUUUCGUAGGAAGAGUUUAACUGGGUGUAUGUUGACAUCGGAUUUGAGAACGAAGGUCAUUGCAUCCUCGUAACUCGUUCCGUGUAACAAUUCAGAGAAAGAACAAGAGUUAAUGACAAAAGUUUUAUUCUCUCUGAUCCCAAAAUCGCAGUGACAUCCGUGUGUUUUUCGUGGUUGGUGCGUUCGACAUAUGCAUCUUCUAUCUGUGAUUAUAUCUUACUCUGAGCUUCCGGUAAACGAGAGUUUGCAAGUUUGCAAGUGGUUUAUUGUUCCAUUUCGGUUAACCGUAUCAAAUAUUUGCGUUUGAAUCCAUUAUUUUGAUGAAAAUAAAAAUUAUACUCCAUUAAUGUGAUUUUCUUGUGCUUUUUCCUAUCGUUAAGUAUUAUUCUUUCCUCAUAGUACGCCAAUAAUUAAAUUUCUUAAUGUUUUUAUUCUUCACAUCAUUGCUGUGCAGUUAAAAGAAAUUAAAAUAUGUUUUGCUGGUUUGCGUAUGUAUGUAUAAACAAUUUAUGGGUCGGCAUAUCUCGAGUAUCGCGUGUGUUAAAAAUACACACGGUAAAGUAUGUACAUUUUUGAGACAUCUUAAUAAGCAGUUAAGAUAAAUAAAACGUGCGAAAGUGUCUUAUCAGGAGCAUACUGACAGCUUUCUCCAUUUCUUCUGAAGACUUGGCCAGUUAAUCGUCUAAAAUCAAGAGGGCCUGACCCUUUUAAUGUAAAUUAUCUC
Molecule: long non-coding RNA, 2510 nt
Filed under: Bemisia tabaci
Lineage: Eukaryota; Metazoa; Arthropoda; Insecta; Hemiptera; Aleyrodidae
Description: lncRNA ENSSSA2NGG000968
Source: RNAcentral